AGGGAGCUUGCUCCCGGAUUCAGCGGCGGACGGGUGAGUAAUGCCUAGGAAUCUGCCUGGUAGUGGGGGACAACGUUCCGAAAGGAGCGCUAAUACCGCAUACGUCCUACGGGAGAAAGUGGGGGAUCUUCGGACCUCACGCUAUCAGAUGAGCCUAGGUCGGAUUAGCUAGUAGGUGGGGUAAUGGCUCACCUAGGCGACGAUCCGUAACUGGUCUGAGAGGAUGAUCAGUCACACUGGAACUGAGACACGGUCCAGACUCCUACGGGAGGCAGCAGUGGGGAAUAUUGGACAAUGGGCGAAAGCCUGAUCCAGCCAUGCCGCGUGUGUGAAGAAGGUCUUCGGAUUGUAAAGCACUUUAAGUUGGGAGGAAGGGCAGUAAGUUAAUACCUUGCUGUUUUGACGUUACCAACAGAAUAAGCACCGGCUAACUUCGUGCCAGCAGCCGCGGUAAUACGAAGGGUGCAAGCGUUAAUCGGAAUUACUGGGCGUAAAGCGCGCGUAGGUGGUUUGGUAAGAUGGAUGUGAAAUCCCCGGGCUCAACCUGGGAACUGCAUCCAUAAC
Molecule: ribosomal RNA, 564 nt
Filed under: Pseudomonas delhiensis
Lineage: Bacteria; Pseudomonadati; Pseudomonadota; Gammaproteobacteria; Pseudomonadales; Pseudomonadaceae
Description: bacterial SSU rRNA
Rfam family: Bacterial small subunit ribosomal RNA
Source: RNAcentral